Molecule: long non-coding RNA, 5886 nt
Filed under: Marmota monax (woodchuck)
Lineage: Eukaryota; Metazoa; Chordata; Mammalia; Rodentia; Sciuridae
Source: RNAcentral
CACGUGGGAGUGGCUUGCCUGCCCAGACCCACUGAGCCUGCAGGUGUCCCUGGUAGGAGAGAUGGGAGGGCUUGUCCCUGACCAUUUCGCGCAUCACUGCUGCGGGUGAGAAACCAGGGACAGGUGGGAGAGGAGGGGCACCUCCUGAGCCUCCCCUCCCUGUGGAGACCCCCAUGUCACCAGCUGUGCCUGAGGCAGGGCAGCGCCACGUCCCUCUCUCUCCAGCUGCCCUUGGUCACCCAGCACCUGUUUUGUGUCAGGAGGGGUUUAUUGGGGGGGAGUGCCUUGGUCCCAACUCUGGGCUCUUUGUGGGACUUAGGCACACCUGGGAAUGACUCACAGGUGAAGGGCUGGGGGAGGACAGGUCCCUGGAGGUUCUGAUAGCUGCUGGCCUCUUGCAAUUUAAGUGGGCAAGGCCUUAGGGCCAUGUCACCAGCCUCAUGCUUUCCAAGUGUUGCCCUUCCCUGCUGCGUCACCUCUUCCCCACCAGGGAACGGAGGGAGGGCAGGUGGGAGCCCCCGGUGGGGAACUCGAGGAUUCAGGGAUGGCACAGACAGGAGUCCUUCAGCUCAGUGGGAACUGGACAUCCCUCGCCUAGGGUUGGGGGAGUGCCUCUGGCCACAGGCCAGGAUCGCCGGCUCCUUGCUCCUCAACUCCGACCCUGCAGGCGGAUCAGUUCCUUAAAAGGGCUGUUCUUGGGCCUUCCCAACAGGUGCCCAGGGUGCAGCUGGAGUACACACUGAUGUCAACCUCCCAGAGUGUCCUGGACGGGCGCCGAGGCCACCUCCACCCUGUUACACCAGAGGAACAAGGGUGACAACUGUCUGGGCUGAGUCCUGGGCUGGCUCUGUGGGGAGGUGGCUCCAGGCCUCUCCAGGGACUGGAGUGAAGGCCUGAGAGUGCCCACCCCUGAGGGAGAGGACCCCGUGUGGGGGUGGAUGCCCUACUCCAGGACAGCUCUCGGCUGCCUCUCAGCCCCAAGCUGUGGACAGCCCUGCAGGAGCUCUCACCACUUGGUGCAAUGGUGGGGAUGGGGACAGGGCUGUCUGAGCUGGCACUUGAUCCUACGCCAGCCCCCGGUUCCCAGAGGAGCGAAGACUGGACAUCAUGCUCAGGCCCCCUGGCUCCAGGCCCCACCCUGGCUCCAGGCUCCCAUUGUCCCAGCGUGGUGCCAGUGAGUAGCUGGUGACUGAGGGACUCAGGGUGCCCAGAUCCCAGCCCAGGGUUGUCUCCUGCCCCCCCGCCUGCUGAGGGGCUGGAGCCCGUGCUGACUUCCCUGCCCCAGAUGCCUCAGUUCCCGCCCCCAGACCUGCCACCCUGCCCUUGGUCUCUCCCUGGGCAUGAGAAAUGAGCCCCUGGGCCUGGCAGUAGCCUGAGGUGUCCCAGAUCUCCUAAUAACAGAAGCACUGGGAGGCCCCAGAUGGAGGCCGCGUGGAGGUAGAAGGGUCAGCUGUGGACGGCAGGAAAUGUCUGAUUUUUGGCAUCCGACUGCCUCUGCAAUGACAUCAUCAGAAGGUUGUCACUGACUGGGCAGUAAAGCAGCUCAUGACCCUGACUGUAGAAUGCCCAGUGGAGCCAGCCUGCAGCCCUGGCCGUGGCCACUCCUGGCUUCAGCCGAGGCCCCUCACGGGCAGCAGCCCUGCCAGGAGCGGGCUGCAGAGUCUUGCCCAAGCACCCUGCGGCCUGGCCCCGCCCUCUGCAAUGCACCUCGGCCUGACGGGCAGCCUUGUCCACCAGGUAUCCCCAGUUGCAGUGCGGUUAGCUGGGGGAGCUGGGGUACCACCCUGGGUGGGGGCCAAGGGCGGGGGUCCGUGUCUUCCGGCACAGCUUCCUGCAGGCUCUCAGUUCCCAGAGGGGGAGGGAAGCAGGAGAGGCCGCAGAAGUGGGAGGUGACAGGAAACCCAGGGCUGCGGCUCUCUGCCCCACUGCCUCUGAGACCUGUGUCUCCCAGGAAAACAGGCCUCCAGGGACUGGACACUGCAGGACCUAGGCCCUCUUCUGGGGGUGGCAGGUGCCGAGGAGGCCCCUUACUGGACUUCCCAGCACUCAGAAGCAAGCCUCGUGGAGCUGCCCCCUCCAUAUGUGGCCGCAUGCCGUGAUUCCAGUCGCCACCCUAGAGACAUCCCCAACCCAGGAGGGAUGGAGCCUCUCCCAUGCCCACCUCAGUCCCCCGCUCAAGCCAAUUCCUUCUCAACAGAGGGCCUGAGAGCCAGAGACGGAGGGGCUGGGGAAUGGGAAAGCCAGCUGCCCCCAGCCAAUCACCCCAGAACACCACUGCUCAGCCUCCGAGUUGGAGGGCAGCCCGGUGUGGGCUCUUGGCCCACGGCCCACUGGGCCCACAUCAAAGUCCUGGUCAGGCCCGUCUCCCAAGUCAGGGUCUCUUCCAUGCUCACGUGGUGGUCUCAUAGUUGAGCUUGGUUUGUAAAACAGAGAUGCCUGUUCUCUGUGGUGGUGGCGGGGGGCAGUGGCUGGGGGCAGGGCCGGGGCGGUGGCCGGGGCGGCUCUCAGCUCCUGGAGGUACAUGGAGAGCUCUUGUGGCUCCUGGGGGAGAUCAUAUCAUGUCACCUUGUUAAACCAAGUCCACCCCUCGUGACAUCUCUCCAUGAAAGAGGCCAAGGCCUUCUGUUUACAGGGUGACUCUAGGGACCUCUAUAAGGCGAGUACCCCAGGGACAGUGGUUUGGGGCUUCCAAAGAAAGCUGAGAGAUAGCUCCUUGUCCCCUGGACUGAGGUGGAUGGAGCGUCCCCGAGGGCCACCUCUGUGGGACACCCCAGGCUUUGCCACCCUCAGGCUGAGGACUCCCACAGCCAGCUGACCCAGCAGGGCAUCCCUGCGUCCCGCAUGCCCAGCCCAAGCUCGGGACAGGAGGUUUUGGAGGGAACCCUAACCCUAGCAGAGCGUCCCAGAUAGAGGCUCAAUCACUGUCAUGGCUUGCCGGCUGCACAAGAGUUCCCUGGAGGAUUCCGAUGCAAUAACUCAUCAGGCACACGAUAAAUCCAGGGAAUACCUCCUGGGUUGGGAGAAGCCGGAUCUGACUUUCUCUGGAGCUUCCCGAGCGGGCAGGGCCAUUCAGCAGCUCUAGCGCACUUUGUCUGUUACCUGGGAGGCUCCCUCCUGCAGGACAGGGCUCCCAGUGAAAGCCAACCCCGAAGAGGGAAUUGUGCUCAGGGACCCCAGAGUGUGGCAGUCCCCCGACUGAGUGCUGUCUCUGCUCAGUUGAUCAGCACCAGGGGGAGAGGUAAAUAGGGGUGCCGAGAGGAGGAGAAGGGAGGACCAGCCACUGCCACCUGCCCGUCAGCUGCAAGCACCUGUGGAGACAGGACGGGUGCCCACAGGAGACGGAUUCCCCUUGCAGAGCUCCUGGCUGAACCAGCUGCUGCUGAGGUCUGCUGUCAGGGCACGUGUGGAUGUCACAGGCCCUCUCCAGGAGGGACAAGCUGGGCCCUGGGAAGCUAGUGGGAUGCAUGGGCCAACUGCAGGAUGUGGAGAUAGAUCAUGGAGCAAGAACUGCGGUUUCCUCACCCCCCAGAUGCUGCACUGGAGCUGGCUGAGACGGGCCUGGCAGAGUCUGCAGCACUGGGCUCCUGAGGAGCAGAGCCCCGCUCCAGGCAGGGGGCUCCUUCAGCACGGAGCCCAAGACCCCGGGCUGGAUUUCACGUGGGGAUGCUGCCGGCAGGGUCACGUUCCUCCUGGGAGGUGGAGUGAGUGGCCAUGGCAGGACAGGGCGGGUGGUCUUGUAGGAUCAGUGGUGUGCGCUGGCCAUGCUCAAACCAGCAGCUGCCCCCUUGCCAGCACAGGUGUUUGUAUUUCUGUUUCUGUUUCUGUACUUGUCUGCUCUGCUGGUCCCAGAGAACCAGAGAACCCAGAGCCUUGCUCGUGCUAGGCAGGUGCUCUACCCAAGCCAGAGCAGCACCUACUUGAAUCUGUCAAGUGACUUUGUGGCCAUUAUGCCAGCAACAGCAUCAGAGCCAUCCACCCGCCCCCCCCCCAAGCUCAUAUAAAUGCAGAGUCCUGGUGCCUCCUGGGCCGUCCAUUUGGGGUUUCAGGGUGUGAAACCCAGCACAUUGGACACUUCUACUCUGUGAUCUGCAGCAGCCAUCAGCAAAGGCCAUGGGGAGACCCAGGAUCAUGCUGAGCAGUAGAAACCCCCUCCAAUGGUGCUCCACCAUGAGCAGCGUCCCCUCCACCCAAGGGCAUCUCACUGGGGCAGAGCCAGGUACACAGACUGCCUGACCACUGAUUGGCCUUUGGUAGAUGUUAGGGUUUGGGUAUGAGGGGUCCCCCAAAGCUCCUGCGAAUGCAGGAAUGCUCAGAGGUGAAAUGAGUGGACUGUGAGAGCUGUGACUUUACCAGCUCACCCUGAUUGAAAUGGACUGACUGGGUGGACUGAGGGCAGGUGGCCCUGGGGUCACGACCUGGAGGUGUUCUUCUUCUUGAGGUUCCUUCCCCAAUCUCAAUCCCUCUCUCUCUCUCUCUCUCUCUCUCUCUCUCCCCUCACUGGGAGUUGAGCAGCUUUCUUCCACUGGACUCCUCCACCAUGAUGUGCUACCUCUCCUCGGGUCCCAGCAAUGGAGCCAGUGGUCCAUAGAUUAGAGCUUUGAAAAUGUGAGCCCCAAAUAAACUUUCCCUCCCCUAAGUUGUUCUUGUUGGGUGUUUUGGUCACAGUGAUGAACGAUGAACUAAAACAGAAAUUGGUCCUGAGAAGUGGAGUCAUCGCUGUGGCUAGCCUGACCUUGGGGUUCAGGAGCCUUUAGAGCUGGUUUGUGGGGGGAUUUUGAAAAGUUUAGAGAUUCAGACUGGAAAAGCUUUCAAAUGUUGUGAGCAGAGCUUAGAGGGAGAUUCUGGCAGCUCAGAAGACAAGAAUGCCGAUAGGAUUGUGGACAGUGCUCAUGAGUUUUCCCAGGGAAAUGAGGACUCCCCUGGGCGGACUGGAGGUCACUCCUGCUAUAUUCUGGCAAAGAACUUGUCUACAUUUUACCCAUGUCCUGAGAGUGCGUGAGGCUGAAUUCAAAAGUGAUGAACUGAUUAAUUUGCUGUAGAAAAUUUCAAGGCAGCACAAUAUUCAGUCAGUGGCAUGGAUACUCUGGGCAGUUUUUAGCCAAGUUUACUGUGAAAAAUGGGGGUAGAAAUCAAAAAAAGUUGAAGAAUGUUAAAAACUUGAAGUUGGACCAGAAAAAUGCAUGUAAAGUUGGGGCCAAGAAGGAUGUGCUUGUUGGAGAGACCACACCCCUAAAGGACCCUAAGUGCUGAGCACAGGGACCUGGGAGAGAGGGCCUGAGGGCACCUCAGGAAUUUGCAAGACCACCCUACUACAGGCUCCAGGGUACAGAUGAGAAAAUUACUUUGAAAGGAGAUCGUGGGGCACCCUGCUCACACGAGGUGGCAGGGCGUGGGGGCUAGGAAGUUGUCUCACAGUGCUGAGCUGCACAGAUAUUCAGAUGGGAGGGGCCAGGUUUCAUGCAAGGUGGAAAACCUUGGUAUCAUCCUUGUGAUGCUGGUUCUGCAGGGAUGCUGGAUGCUAGGUUAAGGGACUCUGGAGGCUUCCACCAAAGUCUCAAAGGAAGACCUGGGUGGCCAGGCAAAGGGUGGCAAGGUUGGAGUCCCUGUGGGCAGCUCCCGAGAGGCAGAUGCAGGAGGUUGUGGAGGUGAAGCUGACGCUGGAGUGGAGACCUCGGGAACUAAGAGACGUUGGGAGCUGGGAGCAUGGACUGACUCCUGAGAAAGCUGCUGGCUGUGCAAGUGCCAGGCAGGAGGAGAGCCCAGGUGGCACCUGGCAAGGUCAAAGGGGCGGGGCUGCCCAAGCCCUUUGGAGAGCACAUUUCCCAGCCACGUGUCUGAGGUACUGAGUGCAGAGUUCCUGGGCCUGUGUACCCAGCUGGAUUUGGG